CACUUAGUAGCUCAGUUGGCAGAGCGAGAGACUGUAAUUGGUUAAAUCAAGUCAGACAUUUAUCUCUAGGUCCCCGGCUCGAAUCCGGGCUGAGUGA
RNAcentral lists this transfer RNA (97 nucleotides) under Mixia osmundae IAM 14324. It matches the Rfam family "tRNA". From Rfam's summary of the family: Transfer RNA (tRNA) molecules are approximately 80 nucleotides in length. Their secondary structure includes four short double-helical elements and three loops (D, anti-codon, and T loops). Further hydrogen bonds mediate the characteristic L-shaped molecular structure. tRNAs have two regions of fundamental functional importance: the anti-codon, which is responsible for specific mRNA codon recognition, and the 3' end, to which the tRNAs corresponding amino acid is attached (by aminoacyl-tRNA synthetases). tRNAs cope with the degeneracy of the genetic code in two manners: having more than one tRNA (with a specific anti-codon) for a particular amino acid; and 'wobble' base-pairing, i.e. permitting non-standard base-pairing at the 3rd anti-codon position. Lineage: Eukaryota; Fungi; Basidiomycota; Mixiomycetes; Mixiales; Mixiaceae. The record is from Rfam by way of RNAcentral.